AGCUCCAAUAGCGUAUAUUAAAGUUGUUGCAGUUAAAAAGCUCGUAGUUGGAUCUAAGGAUGCAGGAGAACACGGUCCGUCGGAAGACCCGAUCGAGCACCGGUUCUCCCAUCCUCUCCUUCCGGCCUCCCGUCUCUACCAUUAACUUGGUGGGGAUGAAGUGGGCACUUGUCUCUUCGGAGGCUUGUGCUCGGGGACCCGGAUCUUUUACUUUGAAAAAAUUAGAGUGUUCAAAGCAGGCGAAUUACUACCGCCAUCGAAUACUGCAGCAUGGGAUAAUAGAAUAGGACCGUGUUUCCGUUCUGUCGGUUCGGGAAACAAGGUAAUGAUUAAUAGGGACAGUCGGGGGCAUUAGUAUUUAAUUGUCAGAGGUGAAAUUCUUGGAUUUAUGAAAGACUAA
This 400-nucleotide ribosomal RNA is filed under the name phytoplankton environmental sample. RNAcentral describes it as "partial small subunit ribosomal RNA". It matches the Rfam family "Eukaryotic small subunit ribosomal RNA", at positions 587 to 939 of the family's 1831-position model. The record is from RNAcentral.